RNAcentral lists this ribosomal RNA (510 nucleotides) under uncultured bacterium. RNAcentral describes it as "partial 16S ribosomal RNA". It matches the Rfam family "Bacterial small subunit ribosomal RNA", at positions 28 to 507 of the family's 1533-position model. The record is from RNAcentral.
GACGAACGCUGGCGGCGUGCUUAACACAUGCAAGUCGAACGAAGAGCGAUGGAAGCUUGCUUCUAUCAAUCUUAGUGGCGAACGUGUGAGUAACGCGUAAUCAACCUGCCCUUCAGAGGGGGACCACAGUUGGAAACGACUGCUAAUACCGCAUACGCUCUAAUCUCGGCAUCGAGGAUAGAUGAAAGGUGGCCUCUACAUGUAAGCUAUCACUGAAGGAGGGGAUUGCGUCUGAUUAGCUAGUUGGAGGGGUAACGGCCCACCAAGGCGAUGAUCAGUAGCCGGUCUGAGAGGAUGAACGGCCACAUUGGGACUGAGACACGGCCCAGACUCCUACGGGAGGCAGCAGUGGGGAAUCUUCCGCAAUGGACGAAAGUCUGACGGAGCAACGCCGCGUGAGUGAUGACGGCCUUCGGGUUGUAAAGCUCUGUUAAUCGGGACGAAAGGCCUUCUUGCGAAUAGUGAGAAGGAUUGACGGUACCGGAAUAGAAAGCCACGGCUAACUACGUG